RNAcentral lists this ribosomal RNA (1081 nucleotides) under Cimex sp. RNAcentral describes it as "SSU rRNA". It matches the Rfam family "Eukaryotic small subunit ribosomal RNA", at positions 14 to 1012 of the family's 1831-position model. Lineage: Eukaryota; Metazoa; Arthropoda; Insecta; Hemiptera; Cimicidae. The record is from RNAcentral.
CCGCAGUAGUCAUAUGCUUGUCUCAAAGCUUAAGCCAUGCAAGUCUCAGUACAGACUAUAUUAAAGUGAAACCGCAAAAGGCUCAGUAAACCAGUUUUAAUUUACUAGAGUUAACUUGACUGUGCUUGGAUAACUGUGGUAAUUCUAGAGCUAAUACAUGCAACAAAGCCGUGACCAUUCGUGGUCAGGGCGCUUUUAUUAGACCAAGACCAAUCGCCCGGCCAGUCCGGGCGUUAAGUUGAGGAACCUAGAUAACACAGCAGAUCGCAUGGUCUUUGUACCGGCGACCUAUCUUUCAAAUGCCUGACUUAUCAACUGACGAUGGUAGACUCUGUGUCUACCAUGGCUGUUACGGGUAACGGGGAAUCAGGGUUCGAUUCCGGAGAGGGAGCCUGAGAAACGGCUACCACAUCCAAGGAAGGCAGCAGGCACGCAAAUUACCCACUCCCGGAACGGGGAGGUAGUGACAAAAAAUAACGAUACGGGACUCGAUAUGAGGCCUCGUAAUCGGAAUGAGUACACUCUAAAUCCUUUAACAAAAAUCUAUUGGAGGGCAAGUCUGGUGCCAGCAGCCGCGGUAAUUCCAGCUCCAAUAGCGUAUAUUAAAGUUGUUGCGGUUAAAAAGCUCGUAGUUGGUUCUGCGUCCCGCGCUGUCGGUACACCGUUUGUCGGUGACACUGGCAUGACGCGGGAUGUCCUGUCGGUGGCGGCGGAGACCAUAUCGCCGUCGGCUAACACCGCGGCGUGUUGGCCUUCUGUCGCCGGCUUUAUCCUACCGCGGUGCUCUUCACUGAGUGUCGAGGUAGGCCGACACGUUUACUUUGAACAAAUUAGAGUGCUUAAAGCAGGCAAAAAUCUCUGCCAGAAUAGUGGUGCAUGGAAUAAUGGAACAGGACCUUGGUUCUAUUCUGUUGGUCUCCGGAACACAAGGUAAUGAUCAAUGUGGACAGGCGGGGGCAUUCGUAUUGCGGCGUUAGAGGUGAAAUUCUUGGAUCGUCGCAAGACGCACUAGAGCGAAAGCAAUUGCCAAGUAUGUCUUAAUUGAUCAAGAACGAAAGUUAGAGGUUCGAAGGCGAUCAGA